Molecule: non-coding RNA, 69 nt
Organism: Rattus norvegicus (Norway rat)
Lineage: Eukaryota; Metazoa; Chordata; Mammalia; Rodentia; Muridae
Source: Rfam
GGGGAUUUAGCUCAGUGGUAGAGCGUUUGCCUAGCAAGCACAAGGCCCUGGGUUCGGUCCUCGGCUCUG